Non-coding RNA from Micropterus salmoides (largemouth bass), 665 nucleotides. NCBI's taxonomy places the organism in Eukaryota, Metazoa, Chordata, Actinopteri, Centrarchiformes, Centrarchidae. The record is from the annotation of a RefSeq genome assembly.
AUGAUGGACUAUAGGACAGGACUGCUGCUUUUAACUGUCUGCUGGGCAGGUGUUGAUGGUCAGACUCUGACAGAAUCUGAACCAGCGGUUAAAAGGCCUGGAGAAUCCCACAGAUUGACUUGCACAGCCUCUGGAUUCACAUUCAGUAACCACUGGAUGGCCUGGGUUAGACAGGCUCCUGGAAAAGGACUAGAGUGGGUUGCCUGGAUUGAAAGUGGUAGUGGUAGCAGCAAAUACUACUCCCAGUCAGUUCAAGGCCGGUUUACCAUCUCCAGAGACAACAACAGACAGCAGGUGUAUCUGCAGAUGAACAGUCUGAAGACUGAAGAUUCUGCUGUUUAUUAUUGUGCUCGAGACUCACAGUGACUGGAGUUGUUUGAGCAGCUGUACAAAUACAUACAGUACUCAUCCUGCCUGUGUUGAUAGAUCUGUGGAAAGGCCCCCCCCCCCCUUUUUUUUUUUUUACUUUUGUUAUUGUUGUUAAGAAAAUCACAUUACUAAAUAGGCAUAUCUUGUUUAUUCCAUAACAUCCAUAACUAUAAAAUUAGUAGCUGAACAAUGUAAUACAUCCGCAUAGUUCAAUGGUUUUGCUAAUUGUCUAACUUUAGAUUUAGAAGUCCUACAGAGAUUGUAGGUUGAGAGAAUAAAUGGAGGGUCAAACUGUU